UACGGAGGGUGCAAGUGUUAAUCGGAAUUACUGGGCGUAAAGCGUGCGUAGGCGGUUCGUUAAGUCUGUUGUGAAAGCCCCGGGCUCAACCUGGGAAUGGCAAUGGAUACUGGCGAGCUAGAGUGUGUCAGAGGAUGGUGGAAUUCCCGGUGUAGCGGUGAAAAUGCGUAGAGAUCGGGAGGAACACCAAUUGCGAAGGCAGCUUGCUGGGACGGUACUGACGCUGAGGCUCGAAAGCGUGGGGAGCAAACAGG
This 254-nucleotide ribosomal RNA is filed under the name uncultured bacterium. RNAcentral describes it as "partial 16S ribosomal RNA". It matches the Rfam family "Bacterial small subunit ribosomal RNA", at positions 524 to 776 of the family's 1533-position model. The record is from RNAcentral.